This 497-nucleotide ribosomal RNA is filed under the name uncultured bacterium. RNAcentral's name for it is "partial 16S ribosomal RNA". It matches the Rfam family "Bacterial small subunit ribosomal RNA", at positions 28 to 507 of the family's 1533-position model. The record is from RNAcentral.
GAUGAACGCUGGCGGCGUGCCUAAUACAUGCAAGUCGAGCGAACAGACGAGGAGCUUGCUCCUCUGACGUUAGCGGCGGACGGGUGAGUAACACGUGGAUCACCUACCUAUAAGUCUGGGAUAACUUCGGGAAACCGGAGCUAAUACCGGAUAAUAUAUUGCACCGCAUGGUUCAAUAGUGAAAGACGGUUUUGCUGUCACUUAUCGCUGGAUACGCGCCGCAUUAGCUGGUUGGUAAGGUAACGGCCUACCAAGGCAACGAUGCGUAGCCGACCUGAGAGGGUGAUAGGCCACACGGGAAGGGAGACACGGUCCAGACGCCUACGAGAGGCAGCAGUAGGGAAUCUUACGCAAUGGGCGAAAGCCUGACGGAGCAACGCCGCGUGAGUGAUGAAGGUCUUCGGAGCGGAAAACUCUGUUAUUAGGGAAGAACAAAUGUGUAAGUAACUAUGCACGUCUUGACGGUACCUAAUCAGAAAGCCACGGCUAACUACGUG